This 218-nucleotide non-coding RNA is filed under the name Fictibacillus arsenicus. Its description in RNAcentral is "T-box sequence". It matches the Rfam family "T-box leader". From Rfam's summary of the family: Uncharged tRNA acts as the effector for transcription antitermination of genes in the T-box leader family. T-boxes are found upstream of many aminoacyl-tRNA synthetase genes and some amino acid biosynthetic genes usually in Gram-positive bacteria. The anticodon of a specific tRNA base pairs to a specifier sequence within the T-box motif, and the NCCA acceptor tail of the tRNA base pairs to a conserved bulge in the T-box antiterminator hairpin. The record is from RNAcentral. Lineage: Bacteria; Bacillati; Bacillota; Bacilli; Caryophanales; Fictibacillaceae.
AAAAAAUCAAUGACAGGAACUAGUAGCAAAAAUGACUUUGUAUAGAGAGUCGGUGGCUGGUGAAAACCGAUCAAAGCGUUUUGUGAAUCCAUCCUCGAGUGAAGAGCCGAAGGUAAGUAAGCUUUUCCGGUGAAGAACCGUUACAUUUAAACGAGCCGGCAAUAGGAAUAAUUCUAUUGCAAUCAGGGUGGCAACGCGGGUUAACUCUCGUCCCUGUU